Molecule: long non-coding RNA, 647 nt
Organism: Asparagus officinalis (garden asparagus)
Lineage: Eukaryota; Viridiplantae; Streptophyta; Magnoliopsida; Asparagales; Asparagaceae
Exons: 2
Source: RefSeq, a predicted model, not a curated record
UCCGUCUAGGAUGAAUUUUAUUUCCGUCUAGGAGAGUCUCUCACUUUAUAUUCAUCAGAACCCUAAAAUCCGUAUCCUCCAAAUCAAAAAUUCUUCUUCUUCUUCUUCUUCGUUCGUGCCGUCCUCGACGCCGUCUGCAGCCGAUCGUUUACACCUCGUCGUCCUCUCCCACUCCCGCCGCCUCCUCAGUCCUCAUUCGACCCUCGUUUACACAUCGUCGUCGUCUUCCUCUCACACUCCCGCCGCCUCCUCAGUCCUCUCCCACCACGUCAAGCUCUUCCUCUUCCUACUCCCGCCGUUUGCCACCUCCGCUCAUGGAGCCCUUGCCGGCGAUUGCCCUAAUUGAGUGAGGGGAUGGCUGACUCAGGCUGAGGGGUACUGUGUCUGUGCAAUUUGCUUGGAGAGGAUCUUGAUUCACGAGGCUGCCGGUGUGAAAGCUUGCGAGCACGCUUACUGGUUUGUUUUACGACUUCAUUUAUUUUGCAUUAUUUUGCGAGCAUGCUUACUCGAUUGUGCUAUACAUAGUGAUAUAUGGGAUGAUUUAAUGUUUCCAGAAUAGGCUAAAUUGUUGUUAAAUCCAGGUCCCAUGCUAUAUAUUGCCGAUUUGUCAUAAAAUGGAGCUGCUUUAUCUAUUUGUUCAUUAAUUA